AUUGAACGCUGGCGGCAUGCCUUACACAUGCAAGUCGAACGGCAGCGGGCCCUUCGGGGUGCCGGCGAGUGGCGAACGGGUGAGUAAUGCAUCGGAACGUACCCGGGAGAGGGGGAUAACCGGCCGAAAGGCUGGCUAAUACCGCAUGAACUCGGAAGAGCAAAGCGGGGGACCUUCGGGCCUCGCGCUCUCGGAGCGGCCGAUGUCCGAUUAGGCUAGUUGGUGGGGUAAAGGCCCACCAAGGCGACGAUCGGUAGCGGGUCUGAGAGGACGAUCCGCCACACCUGGGACGGGAAACGGCCCAGGCCCCCACGGGGGGGAGCAGUGGGGAAUUUUGGACAAUGGGGGGAAGCCUGAUCCAGCCAAGGCGGGGUGGUGAAGAAGGCCUUCGGGUUGUAAAGCCCUUUCGGCGGGGAAGAAAUCGGUCAGGCGAAUAGUCUGGCCGGAUGACGGUACCCGCAGAAGAAGCACCGGCUAACUACGUG
This 485-nucleotide ribosomal RNA is filed under the name uncultured bacterium. RNAcentral describes it as "partial 16S ribosomal RNA". It matches the Rfam family "Bacterial small subunit ribosomal RNA", at positions 28 to 507 of the family's 1533-position model. The record is from RNAcentral.